RNAcentral lists this ribosomal RNA (462 nucleotides) under uncultured soil bacterium. Its description in RNAcentral is "bacterial SSU rRNA". It matches the Rfam family "Bacterial small subunit ribosomal RNA", at positions 60 to 519 of the family's 1533-position model. The record is from RNAcentral.
AGUCGGACGGGAUUGGAGAGCUUGCUUUCCAUGAGAGUGGCGCACGGGUGCGUAACACGUAUGUAACCUACCUUGUUCAGGGGGAUAGCCUCUCGAAAGAGAGAUUAAGACCGCAUAACAUCAUUGAGUAGCAUUACUUAAUGAUCAAAUAUUUAUAGGAACAAGAUGGGCAUGCGGAACAUUAGCUAGUUGGUAAGGUAAAGGCUUACCAAGGCUACGAUGUUUAGGGGAUCUGAGAGGAUGACCCCCCACACUGGUACUGAGACACGGACCAGACUCCUACGGGAGGCAGCAGUAAGGAAUAUUGGUCAAUGGGCGCAAGCCUGAACCAGCCAUGCCGCGUGCAGGAAGACGGCCCUACGGGUUGUAAACUGCUUUUGUACCGGAAUAAACCUUGAUACGUGUAUCGAGCUGAAUGUACGGUAAGAAUAAGGAUCGGCUAACUCCGUGCCAGCAGCCGCG